RNAcentral lists this non-coding RNA (934 nucleotides) under Dendropsophus berthalutzae (Bertha's treefrog). Its description in RNAcentral is "partial 12S ribosomal RNA". It matches the Rfam family "Bacterial small subunit ribosomal RNA". The record is from RNAcentral. Lineage: Eukaryota; Metazoa; Chordata; Amphibia; Anura; Hylidae.
ACACAAAGGUUUGGUCCUAGCCUUGAAAUCAGCCCUUACUUAACAUACACAUGCAAGUCUCCGCACCCCUGUGAAAACGCCCUUCACCCCCUCCAAGGGGGCAGGAGCUGGUAUCAGGCACAAAAAUUAGCCCAUGACACCUAGCUAUGCCACACCUACACGGGUCUUCAGCAGUGAUUAACAUUGAAAAUAAGCGACAGCUUGAAUCAGUAAAAGUAAAAAGAGCCGGCUAAUCUGGUGCCAGCCGCCGCGGUUACACCAUGUGGCUCAAACUGACUUCUUCCGGCGUAAAGCGUGAUUAAAGAUAAUAAAUACUGCAAUUAAAUUAGAAUUAAGCUGUGACACGCUUAUUCUCAAGAAACUCGAAAACGAAAGUCAUUGCAACUCCAUCUUGAACUCACGACAGUUGGGAAACAAACUGGGAUUAGAUACCCCACUAUGCCUAACCGUAAACUUUUAAUUACCUCCACAUCGCCUGGGAACUACGAGCAAAGCUUAAAACCCAAAGGACUUGACGGUACCCCACAUCCACCUAGAGGAGCCUGUCCUAUAAUCGAUAACCCCCGCUUCACCUCACCAUUUUUAGCCUAUCAGCCUGUAUACCUCCGUCGUCAGCUUACCCCAUGAGCGCCAAUUAGUGAGCUUAAUGCCAAUACGCCAAUACGUCAGGUCAAGGUGCAGCAUAUAAAAUGGAAAGAGAUGGGCUACACUAUCUAGUUUAGAUGAUACGGAAGAUUACAUAUGAAACCUAAUCAGAAGGCGGAUUUAGAAGUAAGGAGAAACCAAAGUGUUCUCCUUAACCCGGCACUGGGGUGUGUACACACCGCCCGUCACCCUCUUCAACGCCGCUACCCAGUUAAUAACUCAAUUUGGCACGACAGAAGAGGCAAGUCGUAACAUGGUAAGUAUACCGGAAGGUGUGCUUGGCAACAAA